This 400-nucleotide ribosomal RNA is filed under the name uncultured bacterium. RNAcentral's name for it is "partial 16S ribosomal RNA". It matches the Rfam family "Bacterial small subunit ribosomal RNA", at positions 338 to 730 of the family's 1533-position model. The record is from RNAcentral.
CCUACGGGAGGCUGCAGUGGGGAAUAUUGCGCAAUGGGCGAAAGCCUGAAGCAGCGACGCAGCGUGAGGGAUGAAGGUCUUAGGAUCGUAAACCUCUGUCAGCAGGGAAGUACGGUCACUGUGCUAAUCAGCAGUGAAUUGACGGUACCUGCAAAGAAAGCACCGGCUAACUCCGUGCCAGCAGCCGCGGGAAUACGGAGGAGGCGAGCGUUAAUCGGAAUUACUGGGAUUAAAGCGCGCGUAGGCGGUAUGUCAAGUCAAGUGUGAAAUUCCCGCGCUCAACGUGGGAACUGCCAUUGAAACUGGCAAACUUGAGUGUGGUAGAGGAUAGUGGAAUUCGAGGUGUAGCAGUGAAAUGCUUAGAUAUCUCGAGGAACAUCGGUGGCGAAGGCGACUAUCU